Molecule: ribosomal RNA, 210 nt
Filed under: Triticum aestivum (bread wheat)
Lineage: Eukaryota; Viridiplantae; Streptophyta; Magnoliopsida; Poales; Poaceae
Description: partial small subunit ribosomal RNA
Source: RNAcentral
AUGGUCCGCCUCGUUGGCUGCUUCUCCAGCAAGCCUGAGGAAAGGCCUCAACUCCCUUGUAGCUCUCACAUCUGGAAGCAUCGCAAUGCCGCUCUCUUCGAUGACCUCCGACCAUCUACCGACGCCCUUGUCCACACCAUCAAGGAGGAAGCCCGGCUUUGGUCCAAAGCCGGCGCCCUAGGCUUAGCACUUAUAAUCCCUGUAACCUAG